RNAcentral lists this long non-coding RNA (1219 nucleotides) under Gallus gallus (chicken). The record is from RNAcentral. Lineage: Eukaryota; Metazoa; Chordata; Aves; Galliformes; Phasianidae.
CAAGCAUGUCAAGGCUUGGAGCAACGUGCUUUGCAAGGCAGAUGAAGAACAGGGACAGGUUUAAAGGAAAGCAUUAGUAAAUCCCAGCCAAGUGCUUUUGAAGUGGUCUGGAGAGAAGAGGAUGCUUGAACACAGCCUGAACCUUCCAAGCAGGGAGAGAAGGAAGGAUUUGGACCAUCUCUUUUCCCACCACUGGUUGAUAAUGCUUUCUGCUAAUGAAGAUUAAUGUGACAAGGGCAAGGGUUUUAUUUAAUAAGCAUUUAUUUCUUGUAUUAUUUUGGUAUGUUCUUCCUUGAAGAUUCAACUAGAAAGCAGAGUUCCUAUUGGGAUUACAUUGUGAGAACCAAAGACCAGAAAGGCUCCAGACUGGUGCCAUGAUCACUCCGUGAGGUCCUGCAGCACAAAUAAAAUGAACUUUUGAUGGAAAUAGCGUGAUACCAGUGACCAACUGCCAAACAGAGGAGAGCAGAGAAAUAGGCCUGGGCCUGGCUGUUAACCUGUCAUACCGAAGUCCUGAAUACGUCAGGUAGAAGCCUUGCUGGUCUCUAAAAAGCACAGAGAGGAAAGGGAAAAAGUUCUCUCAGGUUCUGGGAUGUAAAAACUGGAUUUUUAGGAGCUGCCUGCUAAACUAUUGGUUGGUAUUAGGGGGGUUGAUUCAACCAGAGUCUCAUGAGGGUCUUGCUCCAUGGACGAAAAUCAUCUCAGCAAGAACUACAUUAUCUCUGUUUGACUUGGUGGCAAAACAGCUUCAUCCACUGGAAACAGGGGGGUGUAAAGAACGUCAUUCGUUGUCAUUGCAGCUUACAGGGAACCCUGGAAGAGUAACUCUUUCCUCUGUGAAACGAGCCUGUAUUCUUUGGAGAAGAAUGGGGAAGGAAAGUCUCAAAUAAAUGGAUGUAAUUGCCUUCAUUAAAAGCUGACUGAACAGACUUUAUCCUGUGGGGUCUACUCUCUCUCUCUGAGUCUGGCCCUCUGAACUGAGAUGCAAGGAGAGAUAUCAACAUCAUGUCUUCAGAGGAUGAAUAACUUCCCAAGAAGCUUACACUACAUUAAGACCCAUCUUCACAAUGAACAUUCCUAGGAGAAGAGGAUUUCAAGCAUACUCAUUAUCCAAGGGAUACAUGAACAAGAAGUCUGCAAGAAUUCUCUUCAAGCAUAUACUCCAAAUAUAACCUGCAAAGGUGGAACAGAGCUUUUCCCUUCCAAGAGCUUGUCUGAA